UAUAUUUAAGUAUAUGAAGUACAUGGGUUUUUGAUAUCCAAAGAGAUAGUUUGAAUCUAUUAAAUGUAA
This 69-nucleotide transfer RNA is filed under the name Staphylinoidea sp. 14 KM-2017. RNAcentral's name for it is "tRNA-Gln". Lineage: Eukaryota; Metazoa; Arthropoda; Insecta; Coleoptera. The record is from RNAcentral.